This is a long non-coding RNA of Leopardus geoffroyi (Geoffroy's cat), 400 nucleotides long. RefSeq lists it as uncharacterized. NCBI's taxonomy places the organism in Eukaryota, Metazoa, Chordata, Mammalia, Carnivora, Felidae. The record is from RefSeq and is a predicted model, not a curated record. The transcript has 2 exons.
UCUGCGCUGUCAGCAUUCAGAGCCCAAUGUGGGGUUCGUGAGACCGUGACCUGAGCCAAAGUCAGGCACUUAACCAACUGACCUGCCCUGGUGCCCCUGCUGGUUCUAUUAAUUAUGCUCUGGUAUACUGUCAUCUGUUCACUCUGAUGAAGUCAGAUGCUCUACAGAGAGGGUUACGUGGCAAGGAAGUGAAGGCCUCCAGCCAACAGCUCGGAAGGACCUGAUGCUUUGGUUCAACAACCCAUGAGAAACCGAAUCCUGCAGCAACCACACAGGUUUGCUGGGAAGUAGCUCCUAACCCGAUGAGCCUGAAGAUGACUGCAGCCUGUGACAGCUGAGACAUGCCUGGCUUCCUGGUCCACAAAAGUUAUGAGGUUAUAAUAAAGGGUUUUUUAAGCCA